GGGGAUUUAGUUCAGUGGUAGAUCACUUGCCUAACAUGUACAAGACCCUGGGUUCAAUACCCAGUAUUGCCA
This 72-nucleotide transfer RNA is filed under the name Dipodomys ordii (Ord's kangaroo rat). It matches the Rfam family "tRNA". From Rfam's summary of the family: Transfer RNA (tRNA) molecules are approximately 80 nucleotides in length. Their secondary structure includes four short double-helical elements and three loops (D, anti-codon, and T loops). The record is from Rfam by way of RNAcentral. Lineage: Eukaryota; Metazoa; Chordata; Mammalia; Rodentia; Heteromyidae.